Oncorhynchus tshawytscha (Chinook salmon) is the source of this 1032-nucleotide long non-coding RNA. RefSeq lists it as uncharacterized. The record is from RefSeq and is a predicted model, not a curated record. NCBI's taxonomy places the organism in Eukaryota, Metazoa, Chordata, Actinopteri, Salmoniformes, Salmonidae. The transcript is spliced from 3 exons.
ACAAAACAAAACAAAACAAAACAAAAAAACACCACCAAAAAAACACCACAACACAAAAUCCAGCAGUGUGUCUGCCCGCUGAGUCUCCUCAAUGAAUGGGGAAAAAGUGUAUUUAUCCCGUGUCCCAUUUCAGUGACGACCGUCCCGGCUCCGCCCACCGACAUCCUAAUAAGGAAAACAAGAACAAAGAGAAAGAAUUCGGCAGACAGAGUGGGAGGGUCGUCACAUCUUUAAAAAGAGAAAGGUUGGGUUGUUAAUGCUGGGUUAAUUCUCCUGCCAAAUCAAAGUUAUCCAGCAAGCUCUUGAAUGAGGAUUGUUGCAGCUGUAGCAAGUCUAGCAGACAGUGCCGCCUGCUCAUAGUGGAAUUACUUUGAGGGAUAAAUGGGCAAGGCGCUAUGGCUGACCAAAAACUAUACUAAAGAUGACACGAUCCCACCACCAGUGUAACGAGUUGGAAAGAACACUGCCCGCCCAAACAUUGAGGCCUGAAUCAUAUUUGAGAAUAAGCUGGAACCAAUAUGGCUGAAUAUCUCUACCAAGCAACUGAAUAUCUCUGCCAAGAACAAGAUACCUGACCCUUUGUUCUGAUUCUGGGGACAGUCACCUCUACUCCCUGGAAUUCAUCAUGAAUGAGCAAGCUCUGGAGCAGGAGACUUUGUUUUACAAAUUCCACUUGAACAUGAACUGUAGGGGUUGGGGGGAGUAGUGUAAACUUUACUUUUCUUCAGCCCCAUUACUCAGCUGUAAUUGGUAGGGCCGCUGUGAUUUUUAAAAGUAUGGUUGUGCUUCUAAAGUUAAUUUCUGUUCUUUAUUUGUUUUAUAUUUUGCAUGACUUCAUUUUGUAGCUAAAAUGUAUAUCUUAAACAUUUUGUAUUGUCUACAAUUUGUUGUGAUUGGCCAUAUGUCAUUUUAAGAAUGACAUGUUGUAACACUUAUUUUUGGAAGUAUUUGUAAAUUAACACCUUCUGUAAAAGGUAAGAAUUAACCCACUGCUGGGUCAAAUGAAUAACAAUAAAACUGUAAAAAGCAACC